RNAcentral lists this ribosomal RNA (2139 nucleotides) under Listeria monocytogenes. RNAcentral describes it as "partial 23S ribosomal RNA". It matches the Rfam family "Bacterial large subunit ribosomal RNA", at positions 1 to 2132 of the family's 2925-position model. Lineage: Bacteria; Bacillati; Bacillota; Bacilli; Caryophanales; Listeriaceae. The record is from RNAcentral.
GGUUAAGUUAGAAAGGGCGCACGGUGGAUGCCUUGGCACUAGGAGCCGAAGAAGGACGGGACUAACACCGAUAUGCUUUGGGGAGCUGUACGUAAGCGUUGAUCCAGAGAUUUCCGAAUGGGGGAACCCACUAUCUUUAGUCGGAUAGUAUCCUUACGUGAAUACAUAGCGUGAGGAAGGCAGACCCAGGGAACUGAAACAUCUAAGUACCUGGAGGAAGAGAAAGAAAAAUCGAUUUCCUGAGUAGCGGCGAGCGAAACGGAAAGAGCCCAAACCAAGAAGCUUGCUUCUUGGGGUUGUAGGACACUCUAUACGGAGUUACAAAAGAAAGUUAUAAAUGAAGCGGUCUGGAAAGGCCCGCCAAAGACGGUAACAGCCCGGUAGUUGAAAUGGCUUUCCCUCCAGAGUGGAUCCUGAGUACGGCGGAACACGUGAAAUUCCGUCGGAAUCCGGGAGGACCAUCUCCCAAGGCUAAAUACUCCCUAGUGACCGAUAGUGAACCAGUACCGUGAGGGAAAGGUGAAAAGCACCCCGGAAGGGGAGUGAAACAGUUCCUGAAACCGUGUGCCUACAAGUAGUUAGAGCCCGUUAAUGGGUGAUAGCGUGCCUUUUGUAGAAUGAACCGGCGAGUUACGAUUUGUUGCAAGGUUAAGCGGAAAAAGCGGAGCCGUAGCGAAAGCGAGUCUGAAUAGGGCGCAUAAGUAACAGGUCGUAGACCCGAAACCAGGUGAUCUACCCAUGUCCAGGAUGAAGGUAAGGUAAUACUUACUGGAGGUCCGAACCCACGCACGUUGAAAAGUGCGGGGAUGAGGUGUGGGUAGCGGAGAAAUUCCAAUCGAACUUGGAGAUAGCUGGUUCUCUCCGAAAUAGCUUUAGGGCUAGCCUCGAGGUAAAGAGUCAUGGAGGUAGAGCACUGUUUGGACUAGGGGCCCUUCUCGGGUUACCGAAUUCAGAUAAACUCCGAAUGCCAUGUACUUAUACUCGGGAGUCAGACUGCGAGUGAUAAGAUCCGUAGUCGAAAGGGAAACAGCCCAGACCACCAGUUAAGGUCCCCAAAUAUAUGUUAAGUGGAAAAGGAUGUGGGGUUGCUUAGACAACCAGGAUGUUGGCUUAGAAGCAGCCACCAUUGAAAGAGUGCGUAAUAGCUCACUGGUCGAGUGACCCCGCGCCGAAAAUGUACCGGGGCUAAACAUAUUACCGAAACUGUGGAUGAACCUCUUUAGAGGUUCGUGGUAGGAGAGCGUUCUAAGGGCGGUGAAGUCAGACCGGAAGGACUGGUGGAGCGCUUAGAAGUGAGAAUGCCGGUAUGAGUAGCGAAAGAAGGGUGAGAAUCCCUUCCACCGAAUAUCUAAGGUUUCCUGAGGAAGGCUCGUCCGCUCAGGGUUAGUCGGGACCUAAGCCGAGGCCGAUAGGCGUAGGCGAUGGACAACAGGUAGAGAUUCCUGUACCAGUGCUAAUUGUUUAACCGAUGGGGUGACACAGAAGGAUAGGGAAUCGCACGAAUGGAAAUGUGCGUCCAAGCAGUGAGUGUGAGAAGUAGGCAAAUCCGCUUCUCGCGAAGCAUGAGCUGUGAUGGGGAAGGAAAUUAAGUACGGAAGUUCCUGAUUUCACGCUGUCAAGAAAAGCCUCUAGGAAGAGUAGUACUGCCCGUACCGCAAACCGACACAGGUAGAUGAGGAGAGAAUCCUAAGGUGAGCGAGAGAACUCUCGUUAAGGAACUCGGCAAAAUGACCCCGUAACUUCGGGAGAAGGGGUGCUCUAUUAGGGUGCAAGCCCGAGAGAGCCGCAGUGAAUAGGCCCAGGCGACUGUUUAGCAAAAACACAGGUCUCUGCAAAACCGUAAGGUGACGUAUAGGGGCUGACGCCUGCCCGGUGCUGGAAGGUUAAGAGGAGUGCUUAGCUUCGGCGAAGGUACGAAUUGAAGCCCCAGUAAACGGCGGCCGUAACUAUAACGGUCCUAAGGUAGCGAAAUUCCUUGUCGGGUAAGUUCCGACCCGCACGAAAGGCGCAACGAUCUGGGCACUGUCUCAACGAGAGACUCGGUGAAAUUAUAGUACCUGUGAAGAUGCAGGUUACCCGCGACAGGACGGAAAGACCCCGUGGAGCUUUACUGCAACCUGAUAUGGAAUGUUUGUACCG